This 1423-nucleotide ribosomal RNA is filed under the name metagenome. RNAcentral describes it as "bacterial LSU rRNA". It matches the Rfam family "Bacterial large subunit ribosomal RNA", at positions 1526 to 2925 of the family's 2925-position model. The record is from RNAcentral.
GGUUUUCCAGGCAAAUCCGGAAAAUCAAGGCUGAGGCGUGAUGACGAGGCACUACGGUGCUGAAGCAACAAAUGCCCUGCUUCCAGGAAAAGCCUCUAAGCAUCAGGUAACAUCAAAUCGUACCCCAAACCGACACAGGUGGUCAGGUAGAGAAUACCAAGGCGCUUGAGAGAACUCGGGUGAAGGAACUAGGCAAAAUGGUGCCGUAACUUCGGGAGAAGGCACGCUGAUAUGUAGGUGAGGUCCCUCGCGGAUGGAGCUGAAAUCAGUCGAAGAUACCAGCUGGCUGCAACUGUUUAUUAAAAACACAGCACUGUGCAAACACGAAAGUGGACGUAUACGGUGUGACGCCUGCCCGGUACCGGAAGGUUAAUUGAUGGGGUUAGCGCAAGCGAAGCUCUUGAUCGAAGCCCCGGUAAACGGCGGCCGUAACAAUAACGGUCCUAAGGUAGCGAAAUUCCUUGUCGGGUAAGUUCCGACCUGCACGAAUGGCGUAAUGAUGGCCAGGCUGUCUCCACCCGAGACUCAGUGAAAUUGAACUCGCUGUGAAGAUGCAGUGUACCCGCGGCAAGACGGAAAGACCCCGUGAACCUUUACUAUAGCUUGACACUGAACAUUGAGCCUUGAUGUGUAGGAUAGGUGGGAGGCUUUGAAGUGUGGACGCCAGUCUGCAUGGAGCCGACCUUGAAAUACCACCCUUUAAUGUUUGAUGUUCUAACGUUGACCCGUAAUCCGGGUUGCGGACAGUGUCUGGUGGGUAGUUUGACUGGGGCGGUCUCCUCCUAAAGAGUAACGGAGGAGCACGAAGGUUGGCUAAUCCUGGUCGGACAUCAGGAGGUUAGUGCAAUGGCAUAAGCCAGCUUGACUGCGAGCGUGACGGCGCGAGCAGGUGCGAAAGCAGGUCAUAGUGAUCCGGUGGUUCUGAAUGGAAGGGCCAUCGCUCAACGGAUAAAAGGUACUCCGGGGAUAACAGGCUGAUACCGCCCAAGAGUUCAUAUCGACGGCGGUGUUUGGCACCUCGAUGUCGGCUCAUCACAUCCUGGGGCUGAAGUAGGUCCCAAGGGUAUGGCUGUUCGCCAUUUAAAGUGGUACGCGAGCUGGGUUUAGAACGUCGUGGGACAGUUCGGUCCCUAUCUGCCGUGGGCGCUGGAGAACUGAGGGGGGCUGCUCCUAGUACGAGAGGACCGGAGUGGACGCAUCACUGGUGUUCGGGUUGUCAUGCCAAUGGCACUGCCCGGUAGCUAAAUGCGGAAGAGAUAAGUGCUGAAAGCAUCUAAGCACGAAACUUGCCCCGAGAUGAGUUCUCCCUGACCCUUUAAGGGUCCUGAAGGAACGUUGAAGACGACGACGUUGAUAGGCCGGGUGUGUAAGCGCAGCGAUGCGUUGAGCUAACCGGUACUAAUGAACCGUGAGGCUUAACCGU